GACGAACGCUGGCGGCGUGCUUAACACAUGCAAGUCGAACGGAAAGGCCCUGCUUUUGUGGGGUGCUCGAGUGGCGAACGGGUGAGUAGCACGUGAGUAACCUGCCCUUGACUUUGGGAUAACUUCAGGAAACUGGGGCUAAUACCGGAUAGGAGCUCCUGCUGCAUGGUGGGGGUUGGAAAGUUUCGGCGGUUGGGGAUGGACUCCCGGCUUAUCAGCUUGUUGGUGGGGUAGUGGCUUACCAAGGCUUUGACGGGUAGCCGGCCUGAGAGGGUGACCGGCCACAUUGGGACUGAGAUACGGCCCAGACUCCUACGGGAGGCAGCAGUGGGGAAUAUUGCACAAUGGGCGGAAGCCUGAUGCAGCAACGCCGCGUGCGGGAUGACGGCCUUCGGGUUGUAAACCGCUUUCGCCUGUGACGAAGCGUGAGUGACGGUAAUGGGUAAAGAAGCACCGGCUAACUACGU
Molecule: ribosomal RNA, 467 nt
Filed under: uncultured bacterium
Lineage: Bacteria
Description: partial 16S ribosomal RNA
Rfam family: Bacterial small subunit ribosomal RNA
Source: RNAcentral